GGCAGUUCUUGGGUGACACACCCCAGAAUUGGGCUCCCUCCUCUCUGGUUCCAGAUGUGUCACCCAAGAACUGCA
This is a non-coding RNA of Myotis lucifugus (little brown bat), 75 nucleotides long. The record is from Rfam. NCBI's taxonomy places the organism in Eukaryota, Metazoa, Chordata, Mammalia, Chiroptera, Vespertilionidae.